This 497-nucleotide ribosomal RNA is filed under the name uncultured bacterium. Its description in RNAcentral is "partial 16S ribosomal RNA". It matches the Rfam family "Bacterial small subunit ribosomal RNA", at positions 28 to 507 of the family's 1533-position model. The record is from RNAcentral.
GAUGAACGCUGGCGGCGUGCCUAAUACAUGCAAGUCGAGCGAACAGACGAGGAGCUUGCUCCUCUGACGUUAGCGGCGGACGGGUGAGUAACACGUGUAUAACCUACCUAUAAGACUGGGAUAACUUCGGGAAACCGGAGCUAAUACCGGAUAAUAUAUUGAACCGCGUGGUUCAAUAGUGAAAUACGGUUUUGCUGUCACUUAUAGAUGGAUCCGCGCCGCAUUAGCUAGUUGGUAAGGUAACGGCUUACCAAGGCAACGAUGCGUAGCCGACCUGAGAGGGUGAUCGGCCACACUGGAACUGAGCCACGGUCAAGACUACUACGGGAGGCAGCAGUAGGGAAUCUUCCGCAAUGGGCGAAAGCCUGACGGAGCAACGCCGCGUGAGUGAUGAAGGUCUUCGGAUCGUAAAACUCUGUUAUUAGGGAAGAACAAAUGUGUAAGUAACUAUGCACGUCUUGACGGUACUUAAUCAGAAAGCCACGGCUAACUACGUG